This 373-nucleotide ribosomal RNA is filed under the name uncultured bacterium. Its description in RNAcentral is "bacterial SSU rRNA". It matches the Rfam family "Bacterial small subunit ribosomal RNA", at positions 525 to 896 of the family's 1533-position model. The record is from RNAcentral.
ACGUAGGAGGCGAGCGUUAUCCGGAUUUACUGGGUGUAAAGCGCGUGCAGGCGGUUUGGUAAGUUGGAUGUGAAAGCUCCUGGCUUAACUGGGAGAGGUCGUUCAAAACUACCAGACUUGAGGGCGGUAGAGGGAGGUGGAAUUCCGUGUGUAGUGGUGAAAUGCGUAGAUAUACGGAGGAACACCAGUGGCGAAAGCGGCCUCCUAGACCGAUCCUGACGCUCAGACGCGAAAGCUAGGGUAGCAAACGGGAUUAGAGACCCCGGUAGUCCUAGCUGUAAACGAUGUGAACUUGGCGUCGGUGGGUUUAAAUCCAUCGGUGCCGAAGCUAACGCGAUAAGUUCACCACCUGGGGACUACGGCCGCAAGGUUA